This is a long non-coding RNA of Ctenopharyngodon idella (grass carp), 1742 nucleotides long. RefSeq lists it as uncharacterized. Lineage: Eukaryota; Metazoa; Chordata; Actinopteri; Cypriniformes; Xenocyprididae. The record is from RefSeq and is a predicted model, not a curated record. The transcript has 3 exons.
UAUAGAAUAAGUGAAAACUUUCUUCAUGUGUAAAACUUUUUUAAUGAAUGAAAAAGUAUCCGGUGCACCUCUGAGAAAAGCAACCUCAAAGCAAUAAGAUUUUCCUCUGGGCUUCGCACAUCUAAUCUGUAUGACUGCGGCUGUAAUAUGGAGGUUGAAGCUGGGUUUUGGUUGUUUGUUUUGUGUUCAGAUGCUGCUGAAGGAUGUAAUAUUGUUGAGCUGGAGGCGGAGGGUUUACUGACGCUGCCACAUCAGCACUCGGGAGAAAAGAUCGAGUCAUCUGUGUUGUUGUUUCUCAACUUACUGACCUUCAUGCAGUUUCCUUUACGCCACUGUAAAUGCUCAAGAGGGCUCACAACGGGGGAGAAAAAAACAACAAAUACCUCAUGUAUGCUUUGGAAGACAAAUGCUGAUCUUUAAAACCAUCCACUCACUCAAUAAGCUCAAACAAGCAAGAAACCAAGAUGGGGGUCUCGGAAGGCCCCGCGGUAUUUGGAAUAGAGUAACGAUUGCCUCGCGACCUGUCGUUCAGUCAAGAGACACUCAUGCACUGCACACUGGAUGUUUACAGCUCACUAGGCCUGCAGUCUGGGCCUGAUCAAUAUGCCCCUCUUUUUACGCUUCAGCUCUCAGCCGUCCACCCCGAAUGCCCCGCGGACUGGACUUCAUGCUCCACAGAGAAAAGACGCAUUCCAACAGGUCCUGUUUCUUCCGUGUCAUUGGCUGCCCAUCAGUGCUUCUAUCUGACAGAACAAAGCGGCAGGCAUCUCUCGGUCACCUUCCACGACGGAGAAAUUCCUCUGUGGCAAAAAGGACAUAAGAAAAUAACCUAAUUUGUGGCACCGUGUUCAGGGUUACUAAAAAUACAUUAAGGCUUUUAUUUGCACUUCAGAAGGGUUGCGAUGAACUGCAGUGGCCUUGACUUCCACUGAAGACACUAAUGAAAGAUUGUUUUUUUUUUCUUUUGGCCCACGGACAAAUGUAAUUUUUAGCUUUUUACAUCCAAGGCUAGUUUACUACGUGUAAAGCAAGUGAUUUCUAAGGUCCUAAUAUAAUGAAACUCAACAUAUGUGUCUAAAAAUGUGGCUUGAAAGAACAUUGAAACAAAGAAAUACAUUGCUGCACCAGUAAAGCACUUGUGCUGAAGAACAACUCUGGUAAAAUUACUUUAGCGCAGCAUUUUAAUGAAAGAUUACAAAAAAGAUAUUCAUUUUUAUUUUUCUUUGGAUUUAUGUGCAAUUUUUUUAGUAUUAUUGAGAUACUAUAAUAGUUUUUAUUAAUUUUUUGAAUUAUUUUUUACAUUUUUUUUUUUUUUUUAAUUUUUAUGUGUUUUUUGUCAUUUGUAAUAGUUGUUGCUGUUUUUAAAUGUGUCUAUUUUAUUCAUUUUUAUUUUAGUUUUUGUUAUUUUACUUAAAUUUAAACUAAAUUAAAAUGAGAAGUGUUGACUUGGCAACUAUCUGAAAUAAGUUUUUCAUAUAUAUAUAUAUAUAUAUACACCCAGAAUGUGUAUUAGGAAAUUUAAAAUAGUUUAUUUUUAUUGCAUUUCAACUUUAAACUACAUAAACAAUCUUUUCAGUAAUGGAAAAUGCUUUUUUCUUUGCCCAUUCAAAAAGGGUUCACAAGAUUGAUAGUGGCAAGUGUUGCUCAAGGUCACACUUACAGUCCAUUUCCUUCUCUUUACACAGUAGCAUUAAGACCAAUCAUGCCGUUUGGGAUCAAAAGCAUCCUGGGAUUGCAUAACA